CCUACGGGUGGCAGCAGUGGGGAAUAUUGGGCAAUGGGCGCAAGCCUGACCCAGCAAAGCCGCGUGAAGGAAGACGGCUCUAGGGUUGUUAACUUCUUUUUAGAGGGAAGAGCAGAAGACGGUACCUCUUGAAUUAGCCACGGCUCACUACGUGCCAGCAGCCGAGGUCAUACGUAGGUGGCAAGCGUUGUCCGGCUUUACUGGGUGUAACGGGCGUGCAGCCGGGAAGACAAGUCAGAUGUGAACUCUCGGGGCUCAACCGCGGAACUGCAUUUGAAACUGUUUUUCUUGAGUACCGGAGAGGUCAGCGGAAUGCCUGGUGUAGCGGUGAAAUGCAUAGAUAUAAGGAAGAACACCAGUUGCGAAGGCGGAAGACUGGACGGCAACUGACGGUGAGGCGCGAAAGCGUGGGGAGCAAACAGGAUUAGAUACCCUAGUAGUC
This 442-nucleotide ribosomal RNA is filed under the name uncultured bacterium. Its description in RNAcentral is "partial 16S ribosomal RNA". It matches the Rfam family "Bacterial small subunit ribosomal RNA", at positions 338 to 795 of the family's 1533-position model. The record is from RNAcentral.